Centropristis striata (black sea bass) is the source of this 594-nucleotide long non-coding RNA. RefSeq lists it as uncharacterized. The record is from RefSeq and is a predicted model, not a curated record. Lineage: Eukaryota; Metazoa; Chordata; Actinopteri; Perciformes; Serranidae. The transcript is spliced from 3 exons.
ACAAUACUACCGCGAUCAUAAAGCAAAAAGAGAAAAUGUUAUGGAAAUAUGGAGAAUAAAUGAAGUUUAUUAAGAGACAGAAGGGAGAAGGAGAUGUGAGGUAGUUCAUAGAAUACAUUUGUUGCCAGGGCAACUCAAGUGCUUGACUGAAAUGGGAAGUUCUUUCACCACUGGGGUCCUGCAACAUUCAUGAGAUCUUAAAGAUGUUGGUCAACAUGAAGAAUAAUGCGUCAACACCACUAAAGAUCCAAGGUGAAGCCCUGCUGCUCUCUCACUGAGCCACAGGUAGGCUCUGAAAGACUGGAGGAGAUUCUGAGUGCUUUUCUAUGUUUCCCCUCUCUGCCUCCUCUCCUCUAUCAGAUGGAGAGAUUGAGGUGAAGAAAUAAUUGAGAGGGGGGAACAACACAGAGAAAAGACAAAGAAUCUGUGGGAUUUCCUCAGGGCUGAAGGAUCAAGACCAGGCCAGAGAAUUAUUUAUGAGCCCUAAACAGGCUUCCAUACAACACUGUGUGCUUAACCCUUCACUACACUAACUUUGAUGUUCCAAGCUCAAGGCCAUCCCUCGACUCUAGUCACUACUCCUGUCUGUCUAUA